GUUAUAGAUGGUGGUGUAGAUGAGGCUGGGUCUAGUCAGGUUAUAGAUGGUUGUGUAGAUGAGGCUGGGUGUAGUCAGGUUAUAGAUGGUGGUGUAGAUGAGGCUGGGUCUAGUCAUGUUAUAGAUGGUGGUGUAGAUGAGGCUGGGUCUAGUCAGGUUAUAGAUGCUGGUGGUGUAGAUGAGGCUGGGUCUAGUCAGGCUAUAGAUGGUGGUGGUGUAGAUGAGGCUGGGUCUAGUCAGGCUAUAGAUGGUGGUGGUGUAGAUGAGGCUGGGUCUAGUCAGGCUAUAGAUUGUGGUGUAGGUGAGGCUGGGUCUAGUCAGGCUAUAGAUGGUGGUGUAGAUGAGGCUGGGUCUAGUCAGGUUAUAGAUGGUGGUGUAGAUGAGGCUGUGUCUAGUCAGGUUAUAGAUGGUGGUGUAGAUGAGACUGGGUCUAGUCAGGUUAUAGAUGGUGGUGUAGAUGAGGCUGGGUCUAGUCAGGUUAUAGAUAGUGGUGUAGAUGAGGCUGGGUCUAGUCAGGUUAUAGAUGGUGGUGGUGUAGAUGAUGCUGGGUCUAGUCAGGUUAUAGAUGGUGGUGUAGAUGAGGCUGGGUCUAGUCAGGUUAUAGAUGGUGGUGUAGAUGAGGCUGGGUCUAGUCAGGUUAUAGAUGGUGGUGGUGUAGAUGAGGCUGGGUCUAGUGAGGUUAUAGAUGAUGGUGGUGUAGAUGAGGCUGGGUCUAGUCAGGUUAUAGAUGGUGGUGUAGAUGAGGCUGUGUCUAGUCAGGUUAUAGAUGGUGGUGUAGAUGAGGCUGGGUCUAGUCAGGCUAUAGAUGGUGGUGUAGAUGAGGCUGGGUCUAGUCAGGUUAUAGAUGGUGGUGUAGAUGAGGCUGGGUCUAGUCAGGCUGUAGAUGGUGGUGGUGUAGAUGAGGCUGGGUCUAGUCAGGUUAUAGGUGGUGGUGUAGAUGAGGCUGGGUCUAGUCAGGUUAUAGAUGGUGGUGUAGAUGAGGCUGGGUCUAGUCAGGUUAUAGAUGGUGGUGUAGAUGAGGCUGGGUCUAGUCAGGUUAUAGAUGGUGGUGUAGAUGAGGCUGG
RNAcentral lists this long non-coding RNA (1064 nucleotides) under Salmo salar (Atlantic salmon). Its description in RNAcentral is "lncRNA (ENSSSAG00000107773.1, ENSSSAG00000118831.1)". The record is from RNAcentral. Lineage: Eukaryota; Metazoa; Chordata; Actinopteri; Salmoniformes; Salmonidae.